This 65-nucleotide transfer RNA is filed under the name bovine gut metagenome. It matches the Rfam family "tRNA", at positions 5 to 66 of the family's 71-position model. From Rfam's summary of the family: Transfer RNA (tRNA) molecules are approximately 80 nucleotides in length. Their secondary structure includes four short double-helical elements and three loops (D, anti-codon, and T loops). The record is from RNAcentral.
GGUGUAGUUCAGUUGGUAGAACGGUAGGCUGUUAACCUAUAUGUCGCUGGUUCGAAUCCGGCCAC